Molecule: small RNA, 33 nt
Filed under: Bombyx mori (domestic silkworm)
Lineage: Eukaryota; Metazoa; Arthropoda; Insecta; Lepidoptera; Bombycidae
Description: ovarian small RNA-14048
Source: RNAcentral
CCUGAAAUGUUUUCUGGGUAAUAUGGUUCUUAC